Argentina anserina (silverweed cinquefoil) is the source of this 503-nucleotide long non-coding RNA. RefSeq lists it as uncharacterized. NCBI's taxonomy places the organism in Eukaryota, Viridiplantae, Streptophyta, Magnoliopsida, Rosales, Rosaceae. The record is from RefSeq and is a predicted model, not a curated record. The transcript has 2 exons.
CUUCUCACCAUUACAUUAUUAUCGUCUCUUGAUUCAUGUUCAUCACCACAGUUUUCUCCGGACUCUACUCUCUGGCUCUCUGCUUUGUUCUCUUGGACUCUCCACUGGGGUGUAUAUUGCUUAGUUUGGAGAACAAAGGCUCUCCCAAGACCAGGAGCCUGAAAAUCAGAGUUGGAAAUGGGAUUUAUUAUGGUGGUAUCGUUGCCGGUGAUACUGUUCAUCUUGAUCGUGGCUCUUGCCUUUUACCUACUUGGUAGGGCGGACGGCCGGAGAGAAGCAUAUAUUGUUGGACGUCCUCCGGUUCCGGUGCCUCCAUUCCAACCCCAUGAGAAGCCAUCCGAGCAGGUGUAAGGUUUAGGGAUCGAGUUGUUAAUUUCUCUGUUGUAGACUUGAAGCAAAUAGUAAACAGUUUGAUCCCUUCUUAUAUAUCAUCAAGAUGAUAUGCAAACUGCAGAGUAGUUUUGUACAUUAUGUUCAAAUAUGAUAUCAAAAUGUAAUCGUUU